RNAcentral lists this unclassified non-coding RNA (691 nucleotides) under Zea mays. Its description in RNAcentral is "misc RNA Zm00001eb120930". Lineage: Eukaryota; Viridiplantae; Streptophyta; Magnoliopsida; Poales; Poaceae. The record is from RNAcentral.
GAAUCCACGGGCGGACGUGUCUGUUUUCCUUCCUUCUCAGUUAGCGGCGGCGGGCACGCACGAGCGGCGUGUGCUACCAGCCGGUCUCCCGGCCGGAUUGUUAUUAGCUGACAAUGAGUUGAGAAGCCUCGCCGAAGUAGCUGGCGCGGCGGCGGCGGCGGCGGCGGCGAUCGCCGCUGGUGCCAGCGCGUCCGCGACGACCUUCGCUACGGUCCUUGACCGGCUCCUCCUCCCAGUCCCAGUCAUCAGGUUAUUUGAUUUGAAAUGCACCAUAGAAUAUGGAAGGAUCAAGGAAGGCUCCUUAAUUAAGCCGCUGAAGAGUUUUACCAUCGUUGUUUCAGUUUAAUUUAAUCACUUCCAAUAACUAUUUUUUUACUUUCCUGGCUUUUUUCCAACGUGUUUACCAACUGAUGAUGUUACAGUGCAACUGUGUCGUGACAAGAUACAAGGAUAGCUCAACUAUGCAAUGACUGGCAACUGAUUUUUUUAUUCUCAAGUGGCUGGUCUGCUGUCAAAAUUGUGUCUACAUCAUACCUCUGCAAAGUAAUACCGAUUGUUAUAUAUGGUCAUCAAAGUCUCCGACUCUCCUUUUUUUUUAUUCGAAAAUUUAACUAUAUGUAUUACUUUUUGGAAUGAAAUCGGCAUUAGUUUCACCAUCAGUUGUGUAAGCAGUCGGGAUCGACGACUCGAG